UACGUAGGUGGCAAGCGUUGUCCGGAUUUACUGGGCGUAAAGGGCGUGCAGGCGGUUUGUUUAGUCUAGGGUGAAAGCUCCCGGCUUAACUGGGAGAGGUCCUUGGAUACUGGCAAACUUGAGGGAGGCAGAGGAAAGUGGAAUUCCCGGUGUAGUGGUGAUAUGCGUAGAUAUCGGAAGGAACACCAGUGGCGAAGGCGGCUUUCUGGGCCUUACCGACGCUGAGACGCGAAAGCGUGGGGAGCAAACAGG
RNAcentral lists this ribosomal RNA (252 nucleotides) under uncultured bacterium. Its description in RNAcentral is "partial 16S ribosomal RNA". It matches the Rfam family "Bacterial small subunit ribosomal RNA", at positions 524 to 776 of the family's 1533-position model. The record is from RNAcentral.